Molecule: ribosomal RNA, 459 nt
Filed under: uncultured bacterium
Lineage: Bacteria
Description: partial 16S ribosomal RNA
Rfam family: Bacterial small subunit ribosomal RNA
Source: RNAcentral
CCUACGGGGGGCAGCAGUGAGGAAUAUUGGUCAAUGGGAGAGAUCCUGAACCAGCCAAGCCGCGUGAGGGAAGACGGCCCUAUGGGUUGUAAACCUCUUUUGUCGGGGAACAAAACCCGGGACGAGUCCCGUACUGCGUGUAUCCGAAGAAAAAGCAUCGGCUAACUCCGUGCCAGCAGCCGCGGUAAUACGUAGGGAGCGAGCGUUGUCCGGAAUUACUGGGUGUAAAGGGAGCGUAGGCGGGACUGUAAGUAGGGUGUAAAAUCUACGGGCUCAACCGGUAGCCGCACUUGAAACUGCAGUGCUUGAGUGAAGUAGAGGCAGGCGGAAUGCCUAGUGUAGCGGUGAAAUGCGUAGAUAUUAGGAGGAACACCAGUGGCGAAGGCGGCCUGCUGGGCUUUUACUGACGCUGAGGCUCGAAAGUGUGGGGAGCAAACAGGAUUAGAUACCCCAGUAGUC